Long non-coding RNA from Oreochromis niloticus (Nile tilapia), 3423 nucleotides. RefSeq lists it as uncharacterized. The transcript is spliced from 3 exons. Lineage: Eukaryota; Metazoa; Chordata; Actinopteri; Cichliformes; Cichlidae. The record is from RefSeq and is a predicted model, not a curated record.
AACAAGAGAGGAAAAAAGGAGUAACAUGCAAAUGGCGUAGACAGAGCAAAGACUUCGGGACUGCGUAUGUCGCCACUGUUGAGGUUGUUCAGCAACAACGAAACAACAGACUGUGGACUUUCCGUAUCCAUUUGUGCUGGGUGAACAUGAGGCAAGUUUGGUUACGUUAGCUAGCCGGAGCUAGGCUAACGCCACGGUCCUUGCUGAAGGAGAUACCGCCUGAACGGACAGCAGGAGUUUUGAGAGUCGUCUCGGGAGAGAGUCGUUGACGGAGGACGAUUUGCUACUACCGAGGGAAUCGGAGAUUCGUUGCUGGCUGCUGCGAGCGGAGACGGUUGCUACCGCAACGAGCGGGUGAUUCAUCGGAUGCGGGCAAGACUUCAUGGAUACACGGAGAACAUGCUGCAUGUAAGACUGGAGGAAUGGAGAUAAUUUGGCAGUUUCUACAGAAAACAGAUGAAGAAAGAAGGGGAAAAUUCCUGGAAAUCUGAAUGAAACAUCAGGGCAUGUCCAAGAACCCCUGGAUAAAAUCCAAAAAGAAAAUCAAGGAAAGAGAAACAGAAAGAAAUCCCUGGUAGCUUGAACACUUGAAUGAACUCAACGAUUUGAAAAUAAAACAGGAAAUGAUAUUAAACAUAAUACUUUUUCUCUGGUUUUGUAUUUUUACUUUUGAGAGAAAAUUCAGGCUCUCUUCAUCCUUCAUAAUCCAUGCAUGUCACACUCCUCAAAGAGUCCAGGGAAUUUCAAAAAAUGUUGAGACUGAAAAAGCUGACAAAAAAUAAUUUAUUUCAAGAAUUUGUUCUUGAUCUUUUUGCUACGAGAGAAAAUAAAACAAAGGUCUUGAUAUUUCCAACUGAAAGAGGAGGCUCGUCCAUGUUUAUGAUGAAACAGCUGAUUCUGAACUGAGCCUUCAGAUCAAACUGAUUGAUCAGCCAUCAGAGGAGUCGGAUCAAUGGAGCUGCUUCUGUUCCUGAUGUCCCCUGUUUGAUCCUGGACCUGAACUCUCCCUGCAGAGGAGACACAAGACAGUCAGACACACACACACACAGAAACUUAUAUUUCCACACUGAUCUUUGACCUUGAGUAGCACCGUAGUGUCUCUCAGGAUGUUUCUUUAUUUGCUGUAGACCUCACAUUAAUAUUUUCCACUGUCUCUCUCUGUGGAGUGUUUCAGGGUCAGACUGAGGUCUCCAGUUUUCAGCAGGUCUUCAUUCAUUUUCGUUUGAUCUCUGUAAACCUGGUGCUGUUGACGAGGUCACUCAGAGCCGUUCUCAUACACCUGGACUAUUGCUAACGGUUCAGGUACAAUUCGUCUCCACACGACUGCAGCAUCUUGAGGGAUAUUUCCUGUGUUUUUGAAGAGUGGCUGGACAGACUCCGCCCCCUCCUCCACCUCCGCCUGACAGACUGAGAGGACAACAAACACAUCAUGAGCCGUACAGACAGGAGCAGCAGCUUUUCAGCACUUACUGAAUGAUUCCAGAGUUGUACAUAAAAUUCUAACAAGUACAAUGAUGAGAGCCAAUGAUGUUCCAGAUGUUAGACUUUACAUUGUUGUAGAUGUUUACAGUGUGUACAGACAGGAGCGUGAAUCUGACAUAACAUGACAUCAUGACAUCAGAGCUUAAGUACAGACUGUGUGGACCUUCACCUGAAGAUAUCUAAAGCAUAUCAUCAGGAUGUGAAUGAGACUUGUUCCAGUUUUCAUCAGUUUGUAUUUUGAAUUUUCAGUCGAGUUAAUUUGUAGUUUCCAGUUAAAUUACCUAGAAGUUAAACGUAGAUACUCUGUUUGUGAAGAUCUGUGAAAUAUUCCAUUUUAUUUUAAACGAAGAAGCUUUGAUAUAUUUAAGUUAAAUUACUCUGUGACUUGUCAGUGCGUCUCUUCCUAUCAAAUCUCUGUUAUCUUCACUGACCUCUACUUACUAGAACUGUAAACCGUGUCAGGAUAUUUUGUUUUAGAUUUUUGUUUGUUGCUUUGACCUUGGAGACCCUGAAGUCCACAGCUUCCUUUAUGUUUUUUAAGUCAUAUGUGAAACAUUUAUGCCUGGCUGGGUUUUGUUCAGAAGCUUUAAGUUGUGGGUUGGUAGAUUUACUUUAUACAUUUUGUGUUAGACCCUGUGCCUCCUAGACCUCCAAAGGCCUACUUAAGUUUGUAACACCCUCAUAUAAACUCACACUCUAAAACCUUUCAGUGUUCUGGAAAUUGAUCCUUAUUUUCUUAAACUGGCUGCAGAUUUUAUAGCAGAAAUACUAACUUAUAUUUUUAAUCUUAGCCUUUAAACACUAAUAUCCCUGUAAUACAUAAAUAUGCCCAUGUUUUCCCUUUGCUGAAAGGAGCUGAUCCUUCAAAUGUGAAUAACUACAGGCCUAUAGCUAGUUGAAAGUGAGCAGUUGAAAGAAAUUUUGGACAAAAAUUGGAUUCGUUCACAGAAUCAGUCAAGAAUCACAUGAUACAUGAGACAUACAUUUCAAAAAUUUGUGUCUGAAGAGACGUUACUUUUUGUAACAUCUAAAUCUUAGAUGUUACAUUUAUUUUUAUGGACAUUUCUUAUUUUCUGUCAUUUGAAAAAACAAUAAUAAUGAUAACUAAAAUAAAUAAAACUAAUUUCAUUCAGUAAAGCAACAUUCUUUUUUUUUUUCAUUUUAAUUUUCAUUGUUUUUUAUGUUUUGGCUGCACUAACAGUCAGUUUCCAACUCUUGGAAGUCUAGAAUCCAUUCACCCUUUGCCAAAACACACACACACAUUCUCCAGGAGGAAAAAAACACAAGUAACCACUUUUACAGAAAACAAAUAGAUCCAGAAAUCAGGCAAGCCUGAUAUAAAUUUACAUUAGACACAAGGAUAUUGAAGCUAGGAUAAACUUUAAAACCUUAGCUCUCACAUUGAAGUGCAUCCAUAAUCUUGCCCCUCCUUAUCUGUGUGAUCUGCUUCAUAUCACCACUGUUUCCUGCUCUUAGUGCAGAUCUUAGUUGUUGUCAAAUCUUGUUUAUUUAUUUUUGUUGUUCUGUUGUUUUUUGUUUUUAAUCUACUGUUUUAUUGAUAUCAUCUUCUCUUUGUUCGAUGACCUUGGGUUUUAGAAAGGCACCUUCAAAUACAAUGUAUAAUUAUUACUAUUAAGGAAAUUUCCCAAGAAACUGAAGAAGAAACUCUAAAUCUUAAAUCAAUAAAAUAAAAUAAAAACAAGAAGAAAGUUCAGGAAACCUUGAAUGCUUGAAAACAUUGAUUGAAAAUUAAACAGAAAAUGUUAUGAACCCAUUGCUAGAAAAUAACUUACAAUCUGGCUUUUUUAUUUAUUGUGUUGGUGCUUGAGUGACUGUAUGUUAUUCUGCGUCAUGUGUUUUGUAAAGCACAUUGUAAUGCUUGGUUUGAUAAAGGUUAUACAAAUAUAAUAGUGCUGUUUGUUUUUAUUCCCAUAAAUAAAA